UACAGAGGGUGCGAGCGUUGUUCGGAAUUACUGGGCGUAAAGCGCGCGCAGGCGGACGAGCAAGUCAGGGGCGAAAUUCUGGGGCUCAACCCCGGGCCUGCAGUGGGUACGGGCAGACUAGAGUGCGGUAGGGGAGACUGGAAUUCCUGGUGUAGCGGUGGAAUGCGCAGAUAUCAGGAGGAACACCGAUGGCGAAGGCAGGUCUCUGGGCCGCAACUGACGCUGAGGAGCGAAAGCGUGGGGAGCGAACAGG
Molecule: ribosomal RNA, 253 nt
Filed under: uncultured bacterium
Lineage: Bacteria
Description: partial 16S ribosomal RNA
Rfam family: Bacterial small subunit ribosomal RNA
Source: RNAcentral